This 274-nucleotide ribosomal RNA is filed under the name uncultured bacterium. Its description in RNAcentral is "partial 16S ribosomal RNA". It matches the Rfam family "Bacterial small subunit ribosomal RNA", at positions 523 to 796 of the family's 1533-position model. The record is from RNAcentral.
AUACGGAGGGUGCAAGCGUUAUCCGGAUUUAUUGGGUUUAAAGGGUCCGCAGGCGGGAAAAUAAGUCAGUGGUGAAAGCCUACAGCUCAACUGUAGAACUGCCAUUGAUACUGUUUUUCUUGAGUAUAGAUGAAGUGGGCGGAAUAUAUCAUGUAGCGGUGAAAUGCAUAGAUAUGAUAUAGAACACCGAUUGCGAAGGCAGCUCACUAAACUAUUACUGACGCUCAGGGACGAAAGCGUGGGGAGCGAACAGGAUUAGAAACCCCAGUAGUCC